This 1769-nucleotide ribosomal RNA is filed under the name Staphylococcus aureus. RNAcentral describes it as "partial 23S ribosomal RNA". It matches the Rfam family "Bacterial large subunit ribosomal RNA", at positions 444 to 2217 of the family's 2925-position model. The record is from RNAcentral. Lineage: Bacteria; Bacillati; Bacillota; Bacilli; Caryophanales; Staphylococcaceae.
CUGGGAGGACCAUCUCCUAAGGCUAAAUACUCUCUAGUGACCGAUAGUGAACCAGUACCGUGAGGGAAAGGUGAAAAGCACCCCGGAAGGGGAGUGAAAUAGAACCUGAAACCGUGUGCUUACAAGUAGUCAGAGCCCGUUAAUGGGUGAUGGCGUGCCUUUUGUAGAAUGAACCGGCGAGUUACGAUUUGAUGCAAGGUUAAGCAGUAAAUGUGGAGCCGUAGCGAAAGCGAGUCUGAAUAGGGCGUUUAGUAUUUGGUCGUAGACCCGAAACCAGGUGAUCUACCCUUGGUCAGGUUGAAGUUCAGGUAACACUGAAUGGAGGACCGAACCGACUUACGUUGAAAAGUGAGCGGAUGAACUGAGGGUAGCGGAGAAAUUCCAAUCGAACCUGGAGAUAGCUGGUUCUCUCCGAAAUAGCUUUAGGGCUAGCCUCAAGUGAUGAUUAUUGGAGGUAGAGCACUGUUUGGACGAGGGGCCCCUCUCGGGUUACCGAAUUCAGACAAACUCCGAAUGCCAAUUAAUUUAACUUGGGAGUCAGAACAUGGGUGAUAAGGUCCGUGUUCGAAAGGGAAACAGCCCAGACCACCAGCUAAGGUCCCAAAAUAUAUGUUAAGUGGAAAAGGAUGUGGCGUUGCCCAGACAACUAGGAUGUUGGCUUAGAAGCAGCCAUCAUUUAAAGAGUGCGUAAUAGCUCACUAGUCGAGUGACACUGCGCCGAAAAUGUACCGGGGCUAAACAUAUUACCGAAGCUGUGGAUUGUCCUUUGGACAAUGGUAGGAGAGCGUUCUAAGGGCGUUGAAGCAUGAUCGUAAGGACAUGUGGAGCGCUUAGAAGUGAGAAUGCCGGUGUGAGUAGCGAAAGACGGGUGAGAAUCCCGUCCACCGAUUGACUAAGGUUUCCAGAGGAAGGCUCGUCCGCUCUGGGUUAGUCGGGUCCUAAGCUGAGGCCGACAGGCGUAGGCGAUGGAUAACAGGUUGAUAUUCCUGUACCACCUAUAAUCGUUUUAAUCGAUGGGGGGACGCAGUAGGAUAGGCGAAGCGUGCGAUUGGAUUGCACGUCUAAGCAGUAAGGCUGAGUAUUAGGCAAAUCCGGUACUCGUUAAGGCUGAGCUGUGAUGGGGAGAAGACAUUGUGUCUUCGAGUCGUUGAUUUCACACUGCCGAGAAAAGCCUCUAGAUAGAAAAUAGGUGCCCGUACCGCAAACCGACACAGGUAGUCAAGAUGAGAAUUCUAAGGUGAGCGAGCGAACUCUCGUUAAGGAACUCGGCAAAAUGACCCCGUAACUUCGGGAGAAGGGGUGCUCUUUAGGGUUAACGCCCAGAAGAGCCGCAGUGAAUAGGCCCAAGCGACUGUUUAUCAAAAACACAGGUCUCUGCUAAACCGUAAGGUGAUGUAUAGGGGCUGACGCCUGCCCGGUGCUGGAAGGUUAAGAGGAGUGGUUAGCUUCUGCGAAGCUACGAAUCGAAGCCCCAGUAAACGGCGGCCGUAACUAUAACGGUCCUAAGGUAGCGAAAUUCCUUGUCGGGUAAGUUCCGACCCGCACGAAAGGCGUAACGAUUUGGGCACUGUCUCAACGAGAGACUCGGUGAAAUCAUAGUACCUGUGAAGAUGCAGGUUACCCGCGACAGGACGGAAAGACCCCGUGGAGCUUUACUGUAGCCUGAUAUUGAAAUUCGGCACAGCUUGUACAGGAUAGGUAGGAGCCUUUGAAACGUGAGCGCUAGCUUACGUGGAGGCGCUGGUGGGAUACUACCCUAGCUGUGUUGG